AUGGGGGGGCGGGGACGGGACCUGCUCCUGACCCGUUGAGGGACGGCCCAGGAGGGACCAGCCCUUGGCGGCAGUACCUCCCCAGGCACCGCUCGCCAGCCCGGCCCCGCCACCGCGCUGUGGGACACAACCCGUCCCCGUGUGCCCGGACCCACCUGCGGCUGAGCCGGGCCGUGUGUCUCCAUGGCCAGGAGAGGCCGCCACUGGUCCAGGUGUGAUGAUGGGUGGGGAAAAGCAACCCCAUGAAAAUCAGACGAGAGGCCAGCUCCAUGCCCAGGAGCUGUGUUCUCAUGUCCUGACAUCUGCAACAUGUGAUGGGCUUGUAGAAGCUGCUUGGACAGGCAGGAAAUGAGGAACUGCCUUGAAGGCUGGAGAUCUUCAGAGACCACAGGAAUACCUCAAGACAGGAAGGCUGAUGAUUGCUACUCUCCGGGAGUGGUGCAGCUCAGCCCUUGGCCGGGAGAUGGAGAUGCAGCAUCACCUCCAGGCAGUGGGGGACACCAGCCGGUCCUUGCAACACCCCCUGCCCCGGGGCUCUGGCCUGGGCCGAGCAGGAGCGGGAAGAGCACCUGCGGUAUUCCGUAAGUCUCCGUCUCAGCAUCAUUUUCAACACUGGAUUAGUUCCCUGCAUGCUCCUCUGUACAGCCAUGCACUGCUUUGGCAUCACAGUGGUCUUUGCCUUUCCUCAGCUGUUUGCACAGGUGACUCUGGGUCUCCAGCUUCAGCUCCUCUGCUUUAGCUCUUUCCAACACACAAGAUACCAAUUUGCAGCAGAAGAUUUCUUGCUUCUUUCAGCAGUUUCUCAAACUAAUUUUUAUGGCUGUUCUGUCACUUGGGCUGUCACAAAGCGAUUAUUUUCUUUCCGUAUGCCAACACAAACUGCUGUGUUUUGUUUUUGCUCAUGGCUAAAUGCAUGUACCACAUAACACUUACCACGAGACCUUUCAAGUGACAUUUUCUUUGAUAAGCUAACAACCUGCCUUUAUUGCAGCAAGCUCUUUUAGCUUGCUCCCAACACACUUGAAAUAAUUUCCAUUCCUUGAUUUUCAUCUUUAUUUUGAUCCAAACCACUGCGAAGUAUUCAAAUAAUUUGGGCACCCAUGUCUGUUAUAAUUUCUUUUUCAUUCUUCCAGCAGCAGACCUUGUCUCUUUUCUCCUGGAUUCACUUUUUAUUUACACACCUGAGGACUUGCUCCUCCCUGCUUUGGUGUGCCCAGCAAAGCUGUACAUAACUCAUCUCCUGGCAAUGUCACUGAAUUGCCACGUGUGUUGCCUGGGGUUCCCUUGCUGAUGCACUGUGCUUCCCACUCCUUAUGCACUCAAUUCCUGCUUAAUUAUAUUUUUUUUCUUUAGGUGACUCCUAAUCAAGCUAAAUCUGGAAAUCCCUCUUGAAAGCUCUUUACUCUUGCUUGGGCCAUGGAUACCUCAAAAGUUAGACAGAAGUUUUUUAGAGAAAGUAUGCUGAAACUACCUGCAUAGUUGAGAUAACAACCCGUGAACGUGUGACGGGGGCCCUGCAGAUGACACAAUUAUCAACACUCACCGGCUGCAAAGGGCCGGGACCACCAUCCAAAUUAAAAGAUGAUAAGAAGAGGAUUAAAAACACAAGCCAUGAAACACGCAUGCUCUAAAAAGGUGGACUCAAGGUGUGGCCAUGUUAAACAGUUCCCAGAACUUUUUAUUAAACAUGAGGGACUAUGAAUAUGCAACAGGUUGAUAUAUAUUUAAAGAGGCGUUCCCGAAGCAACCCUGUGCUCUUGGCAACUUGCCAAGCACCCGUAUGUUUUCACCCUUUGCUUUAUGUGCGUCUCCUAUUGUCUUUUUAUUAAACCUUUUUAAAUUUUACCAGGACAGUGAAACGUGUUUUUCACACUUCUCCCGUCCCCCCCCGACACAGCUCCAUGUUGUUCCUAUUGUAUGAAUGAAUAAAACUUGUGGAAGUAGAGGGACAGUUAAACUA
Molecule: long non-coding RNA, 1960 nt
Organism: Catharus ustulatus (Swainson's thrush)
Lineage: Eukaryota; Metazoa; Chordata; Aves; Passeriformes; Turdidae
Exons: 5
Source: RefSeq, a predicted model, not a curated record